GAUGAAGAACGUAGCGAAAUGCGAUAAGUAAUGUGAAUUGCAGAAUUCAGUGAAUCAUCGAGUCUUUGAACGCACAUUGCGCCCCCUGGUAUUCCGGGGGGCAUGCCUGUCCGAGCGUCAUUGCCGCCCUCAAGCACGGCUUGUGUGUUGGGCCCCCGCCCCCCGGCUUCGGGGGGCGGGCCCGAAAGGCAGCGGCGGCACUGCGUCCGGUCCUCGAGCGUAUGGGGCUUCGUCACCCGCUCUGUAGGCCCGGCCGGCGCCCGCCGGCGACCCCAAUCAAUCUUUCCAGGUUGACCUCGGAUCAGGUAGGGAUACCCGCUGAACUUAAGCAUAUCAAUAAGCGGAGGA
RNAcentral lists this unclassified non-coding RNA (348 nucleotides) under soil metagenome. RNAcentral's name for it is "partial contains 5.8S ribosomal RNA, internal transcribed spacer 2, and large subunit ribosomal RNA". The stretch from base 1 to 120 matches the Rfam family "5.8S ribosomal RNA", at positions 35 to 154 of the family's 154-position model. The record is from RNAcentral.